UACGGGGGGGGCAAGCGUUGUUCGGAAUUACUGGGCGUAAAGGGCGCGUAGGUGGCCCGGUGAGUCUUUGGUGAAAGCGCGGGGCUCAACCCUGCGUCGGCCAGGGAUACUGCCGCGGCUCGAGCACUGUAGAGGCAGGCGGAAUUCCGGGUGUAGCGGUGGAAUGCGUAGAGAUCCGGAAGAACACCGGUGGCGAAGGCGGCCUGCUGGGCAGUGGCUGACGCUGAGGCACGAAGGCGUGGGGAGCGAACGGG
RNAcentral lists this ribosomal RNA (254 nucleotides) under uncultured bacterium. RNAcentral's name for it is "partial 16S ribosomal RNA". It matches the Rfam family "Bacterial small subunit ribosomal RNA", at positions 524 to 776 of the family's 1533-position model. The record is from RNAcentral.